AUAUUAACCAAUAAAUGUUUUAGAGGAAUCGCAACGGUAACAAUGCAUCCAGACAGAUUUGCUGGCAACCUAGGCCUGGGUAACUCAGCGAACUUUUAGGAGUUGGCGUAGUGCUGCGCAAUUGGCUUGGUGCACCAACCCCAUGCCCCGGCGCAGUAACUCAUUUCUGUUGCUGGCAAAACGUACAACAAAUGAGAUGUUAAAAUUCAAGUCACGGGUCUCGGAAAGCUUUAAUCCGCUUUAAUGAGUUAUAACUCAUUAACAGAUGACUUAUAAUGCAUCAACUCAGAGAGCUGCAACAACUCAACCUAUGUCCAACACAUUAGCAUUACAGCGUAUUUGUCUUCAAUUUUUUUUAUUUAACUCUUCAAAACUUAAGAUAUAUAACAAUGUCGGACGUGCAUAAAGUUUAGGGUUCUUAGUCAGGCUCUAAAUCCGUCAAAUCGUUUUUAAAUAAUAUUCUUACCAGAAAGUGGAAAUUGUCAUAGAAAGUGAAAGCUUUAACAAAACAAAACUGAACAAGUCCUAACGGCUGAGUCAUAAUGAAAUACAAUAUUUAAAAGCAACAGUGAAGACCGUAUAAAGCGAAUAAGGAUGGCAAUUGAACUAAGGAAGUCCGAAAAUACCCAUCUAUUUAUGAUUACGAAUUUGAAAAUUGUAAGAUUUUUGCAGUAAAAGAAAAUGGAUGGAGAAAAAUAGCCCCAACAAUAGAAAAAAUGGAAGGUAAAUUGUAUUAGGAUUUUUGUAAGGAAUUGUUCUUUCUUUCCUCCUAUUCUAACCAAAUAAGAGUUAAAAGUA
This is a long non-coding RNA of Dendroctonus ponderosae (mountain pine beetle), 798 nucleotides long. RefSeq lists it as uncharacterized. The record is from RefSeq and is a predicted model, not a curated record. NCBI's taxonomy places the organism in Eukaryota, Metazoa, Arthropoda, Insecta, Coleoptera, Curculionidae. The transcript is spliced from 3 exons.